UCAGUCGACUCCUACGGGGAGGCAGCAGUGGGGAAUAUUGCACAAUGGGGGAAACCCUGAUGCAGCCAUGCCGCGUGUGUGAAGAAGGCCUUCGGGUUGUAAAGCACUUUCAGUAGGGAGAAGGUAGUGUAGUUAACACCUGCAUUAUUUGACGUUACCUACAGAAGAAGCACCGGCUAACUCCGUGCCAGCAGCCGCGGUAAUACGGAGGGUGCGAGCGUUAAUCGGAAUUACUGGGCGUAAAGCGCAUGCAGGCGGCCUGUUAAGUCAGAUGUGAAAGCCCGGGGCUUAACCUCGGAAUUGCAUUUGAAACUGGCAGGCUAGAGUCUUGUAGAGGGGGGUAGGAAUUUCAGGUGUAGCGGUGAAAUGCGUAGAGAUCUGAAGGAAUACCAGUGGCGAAGGCGGCCCCCUGGACAAAGACUGACGCUCAGAUGCGAAAGCGUGGGGAGCAAACAGGAUUAGAUACCCUGGUAG
Molecule: ribosomal RNA, 474 nt
Filed under: uncultured bacterium
Lineage: Bacteria
Description: bacterial SSU rRNA
Rfam family: Bacterial small subunit ribosomal RNA
Source: RNAcentral